AUACGUAGGGUGCAAGCGUUGUCCGGAAUUAUUGGGCGUAAAGAGCUCGUAGGCGGUUUGUCGCGUCUGCUGUGAAAUCCCGAGGCUCAACCUCGGGCGUGCAGUGGGUACGGGCAGACUGGAGUGCGGUAGGGGAGAAUGGAAUUCCUGGUGUAGCGGUGGAAUGCGCAGAUAUCAGGAGGAACACCGAUGGCGAAGGCAGUUCUCUGGGCCGUAACUGACGCUGAGGAGCGAAAGCGUGGGGAGCGAACAGGAUUAGAUACCCUGGUAGUCCACGCCGUAAACGUUGGGCGCUAGAUGUGGGGACCUUUCCACGGUUUCCGUGUCGUAGCUAACGCAUUAAGCGCCCCGCCUGGGGAGUACGGCCGCAAGGCUAAA
RNAcentral lists this ribosomal RNA (378 nucleotides) under uncultured bacterium. RNAcentral's name for it is "bacterial SSU rRNA". It matches the Rfam family "Bacterial small subunit ribosomal RNA", at positions 523 to 898 of the family's 1533-position model. The record is from RNAcentral.